CUACGGGGCGCAGCAGUGAGGAAUAUUGCACAAUGGAGGAAACUCUGAUGCAGCAACGCCGCGUGGAGGAUGACGCAUUUCGGUGUGUAAACUCCUUUUAUGAGUCAAGAAAAUGACGGUAGCUCAUGAAUAAGCGCCGGCUAACUCCGUGCCAGCAGCCGCGGUAAUACGGAGGGUGCAAGCGUUACUCGGAAUCACUGGGCGUAAAGGACGCGUAGGCGGGAUAUCAAGUCAGGUGUGAAAUCCUACAGCUUAACUGUAGAACUGCACUUGAAACUGGUAACCUAGAGUAUGGGAGGGGGAGAUGGAAUUAGUGGUGUAGGGGUAAAAUCCGUAGAUAUCACUAGGAAUACCUAAAGCGAAGGCGAUCUCCUGGAACAUAACUGACGCUAAGGCGUGAAAGCGUGGGGAGCAAACAGGAUUAGAUACCCUUGUAGUC
This 439-nucleotide ribosomal RNA is filed under the name uncultured bacterium. RNAcentral describes it as "partial 16S ribosomal RNA". It matches the Rfam family "Bacterial small subunit ribosomal RNA", at positions 339 to 795 of the family's 1533-position model. The record is from RNAcentral.